This is a long non-coding RNA of Argiope bruennichi, 786 nucleotides long. RefSeq lists it as uncharacterized. The record is from RefSeq and is a predicted model, not a curated record. The transcript has 3 exons. NCBI's taxonomy places the organism in Eukaryota, Metazoa, Arthropoda, Arachnida, Araneae, Araneidae.
UUUAAAAGAGAUGUAUUUGAGGAGACUCCUUUAUCUCUUGCUUGAAGAAUGUUAUUUUACGAUUUUUAAUUCUGCGAAUCGAUGUUUUUCGUUGUGAAAUCUGAUGCUGAAAUAAUCGUUCGAUUUUCAGAAAUUUGGCAAGAUUCUCUUGAAACUUCUUCAGACCUGUUUCCAAUGGACAUCUACCAAUCACUGGUUUCAUUAAAUCCUGAUUGAUGCGUACUGUGAUGCUUUAGUAUGAAACGAAACAAAUUCCAUUUUUAAGGAAAUGGACCCCAAAAGGAGUUUAUUUUAAAGGAAGCUACAUUCAUUCAUGAAUAACAGUCGAAGGUGCUAAAUUGGACUGAUUUGAUCGAGAUGUGCUUCAAGAUUUUUAUUCUGAAAGGAAUUUAUUAUCGCCUAGAUGCUGAAACCGAUGUGCUUACAUGGUCAUCCAAAGCAAGUAACUGUUAUAAUAGUCUAUAGCUUUAAAAUGUCUCAAUUAUAAUAAAUGUAUUCAUGUUGUUGAGCCACUUGAUUUACACUAAUCCGACAUGUGAAGAAAAUGUAAUUUAUAUAGUUUACUAUAAAAUUCAAAGAAACUUGUCAAUAAAUUGUUAUAUAGGGAACUUCAUCACAUUCUUAAGCCUCUAAGUGACAGAUACUUAAAGUUUAAAUUUAAACUUCGUUCAAAACUUCAUAUAAGCAAAAUAUUUUAAUUUAUUGUAAAAGUGAAAUGAAACGGACGUGUUUAAUGGAAGCAAGACUUCUACACCAACUUAAAUCUCAUUUGAUGGGCAGGAUGAA